This 1241-nucleotide long non-coding RNA is filed under the name Monodelphis domestica (gray short-tailed opossum). Its description in RNAcentral is "lncRNA (ENSMODG00000042517.1)". Lineage: Eukaryota; Metazoa; Chordata; Mammalia; Didelphimorphia; Didelphidae. The record is from RNAcentral.
CACCUGUUAACAUUAUCUAUGCUCUAUUAUAUUUUUAUUUAGGCUGUUCAUUAUUUCCCAAAUAGAUUUUAACCUGUUUAAGCACUCAAGAAUAUAAGGGCAACAAUAAAAUCCGAAGGCAUAGUAUUUGACUCUGUUCCAGACCUCCCAGAGAAUGGUGACAUUAUUAGGUAGCAACAAAGAAGAAGAUUUCUGAUGGGGAAAGGGAGAUCUUUAAGACCAAACUUAGAGGGAGCCCAAAACUCUUGGUCACAAGUUAAUUUAAUACAAAAUGACUUCUAGUAGUAAGAAAUGUACCAAAGUGCUAGUUGUUUUUUGCAAUGGUAACAAAAAGAAAUUGUAUUUAUUUUUUUGGUCUUUCAUUUCAGGAGGCUUUCGGAGUGGUCUGAGAACCCAGCAAGUGCCAGUUUUGCUAAGCUUGGCUGUCUGGUCCUCUAGGAAGAAAAGAAAAGAAAGGAAAAAGGCUCACUGAACCACUUAAGGAGUAAUCAGCCUAGAUAACAUUUCUCUACUGAGGAACCUGAUAAACAUAUCUUCUUUCAUCUCCUCUUUGUUUCAUUUUUCUGAGGAAGUGGCACCCAUUUAUCUUCAUAAAAAACUUUCCAUACUUUGAUAAUGGAUUUUAUCUCGAGAUAAAAAUGAUUGUUAUUGGGUCCUGAUUGACUGUUGCUAUAAAGGAACAAGAGGGGGAGAAGGACAAAAAGGAACUCAUGAAACCAAAUACUCCAGACUUCACCAAAUCUCUGUCUGUCUGUCUCUUUGUCUUGAUCAUCAAGCACAUUCUCCCUCUCCUCCUUUCCAUGCUCUGUCUCCAUCACUACAGAGAAAGAAAAGAGGGACAUAGAGAAAUGAGAGCUGCAGCGGUAGCUUUCCUUGUUUUGUGAGUUGCCAUGGCCAAAGAACUCAUCACCUUGUGGGCUGCCACCUUUCAACAAGUGUCCCCAUACCUAUCUAGGCCAGUGGAGUGUGUUACCAGAACCAUAUGCUAAACUUCCCAGAAUGAUAGAUUUUUUUUUAAAAUAGCAUUUCAUUUACAUCGUCUUUGAGACUCCGGUCAAUUCCACACCAUGACAAGGAAUCAGCAAUUAUUUAUCAAGCACACAUUUUGUUCCGGGCACUAUCCAAGGUGCUAGUGAUACAAAUGCCAAGGAUAAAACAAUCCUUGCUCAUGAAGUGCUUACAUUCCAAUAGGAAAACACAAGUUAAUGUCUAAAUAAACAAACACACAGUGAAGUAAUGCA